AGAACGCUGGCGGCGUGCUUUAACACCUGCAAGUUUGAACGAACUUCGGGUUAGUGGCGGACGGGUUGAGUAACGCGUGAGAAUCUGCCUCAGGAGGGGGAUAACGGCUGGAAACGGCCGCUAAUACCCCAUAUGCCGCGAGGUGAAAUGAAUUUCGCCUGAGGAUGAGCUCGCGUCUGAUUAGCUAGUUGGUGGGGUAAGAGCCUACCAAGGCAUCGAUCAGUAGCUGGUCUGAGAGGAUGAUCAGCCACACUGGGACUGAGACACGGCCCAGACUCCUACGGGAGGCAGCAGUGGGGAAUUUUCCGCAAUGGGCUGAAAGCCUGACGGAGCAACGCCGCGUGAGGGAUGAAGGCCUCUGGGCUGUAAACCUCUUUUAUCAAAGGGAAAGAAGAUCUGACGGUACUUGAUGAAUAAGCCACGGCUAAUUCCGUGCCAGCAGCC
RNAcentral lists this ribosomal RNA (444 nucleotides) under uncultured cyanobacterium. RNAcentral describes it as "bacterial SSU rRNA". It matches the Rfam family "Bacterial small subunit ribosomal RNA", at positions 31 to 516 of the family's 1533-position model. The record is from RNAcentral. Lineage: Bacteria; Bacillati; Cyanobacteriota.